Molecule: long non-coding RNA, 439 nt
Organism: Chiloscyllium plagiosum (whitespotted bambooshark)
Lineage: Eukaryota; Metazoa; Chordata; Chondrichthyes; Orectolobiformes; Hemiscylliidae
Source: RefSeq, a predicted model, not a curated record
GCACACCAAAUCUUCCAGCACCUGCAAAGAGAAAAAGACAUGCUAAUGUCCUGCUUAUAAAGCCUCUUUAAAAGAAAACUGAGAGAUGCAUUUUAUCACCAGAACAUUCCAACUUCUACAAUGAGGAAUUUCUCAGAAGUUUAACAUUUAUAGUGAACUACAUCAAAAUGAAGGAGAAAAAUGACAAGAUUUCUUGAAGCAAAUGCCUGAACCCAGGAGUCAUCUAAAACACAGCCUGGAAAAUCAACUAGAAACUAUCAAAGAAGAGAAGAAAUUUUAAGCAUCACCACAAAAAUAAACUUGAUCAUGUGAUUAAAUCAAUCUACGUAUAUACAGCAGACAUAUCUUUCAAGUUGGACAUGCUUUCAGUUAUGGAGUUAUAGAGUCAUAGAGACACAGAGUCAUGGAGAUGUACAGCAUGGAAACAGACCCUUUGGUC